CAGCCGCCACGGUAAUACGGUGGGAGCUAGCGUUGUUCGGAAUUACUGGGCGUAAAGCGCGCGUAGGCGGUUACUCAAGUCAGAGGUGAAAGCCCGGGGCUCAACCCCGGAACUGCCUUUGAAACUAGGUGACUAGAAUCUUGGAGAGGUCAGUGGAAUUCCGAGUGUAGAGGUGAAAUUCGUAGAUAUUCGGAAGAACACCAGUGGCGAAGGCGACUGACUGGACAAGUAUUGACGCUGAGGUGCGAAAGCGUGGGGAGCAAACAGGAUUAGAGACCCCCGUAGUCCCUGUCUCUUAUAC
Molecule: ribosomal RNA, 301 nt
Filed under: uncultured bacterium
Lineage: Bacteria
Description: partial 16S ribosomal RNA
Rfam family: Bacterial small subunit ribosomal RNA
Source: RNAcentral